RNAcentral lists this ribosomal RNA (433 nucleotides) under uncultured bacterium. Its description in RNAcentral is "partial 16S ribosomal RNA". It matches the Rfam family "Bacterial small subunit ribosomal RNA", at positions 29 to 507 of the family's 1533-position model. The record is from RNAcentral.
AACGAACGCUGGCGGCAUGCCUAACACAUGCAAGUCGAACGAGACCUUCGGGUCUAGUGGCGCACGGGUGCGUAACGCGUGGGAACCUGCCCUUAGGUUCGGAAUAACUCCCCGAAAGGGGUGCUAAUACCGGAUAAUGUCUUCGGACCAAAGAUUUAUCGCCUUUGGAUGGGCCCGCGUUGGAUUAGCUAGUUGGUAGGGUAAAAGCCUACCAAGGCGACGAUCCAUAGCUGGUCUGAGAGGAUGAUCAGCCACACUUGGACUGAGACCCGGCCCAGACCCCCACCGGAGGCCGCCAGUGGGAAUUUUUGACCAUUGGCCGAAGGCCUGUUCCGCCAUGGCCCCUGGGGUGAUGAGGGCUUAGGGUUGUUAAGGCCUUUUUACCCGGAUUAUUAUUGCCGUUCCCGGAGAAUUAGCCCCCGCUAACUUCCUU